Molecule: ribosomal RNA, 788 nt
Filed under: uncultured bacterium
Lineage: Bacteria
Description: bacterial SSU rRNA
Rfam family: Bacterial small subunit ribosomal RNA
Source: RNAcentral
AACGACAUCGAAAGCUUGCUUUUGAUGGGCGUCGACCGGCGCACGGGUGAGUAACGCGUAUCCAACCUGCCCACCACUUGGGGAUAACCUUGCGAAAGUAAGACUAAUACCCAAUGACGUCUCUAGAAGACAUCUGAAGGAGAUUAAAGAUUUAUCGGUGAUGGAUGGGGAUGCGUCUGAUUAGCUUGUUGGCGGGGUAACGGCCCACCAAGGCUACGAUCAGUAGGGGUUCUGAGAGGAAGGUCCCCCACAUUGGAACUGAGACACGGUCCAAACUCCUACGGGAGGCAGCAGUGAGGAAUAUUGGUCAAUGGACGAGAGUCUGAACCAGCCAAGUAGCGUGCAGGAUGACGGCCCUAUGGGUUGUAAACUGCUUUUAUAAGGGAAUAAAGUGAGUCUCGUGAGACUUUUUGCAUGUACCUUAUGAAUAAGGACCGGCUAAUUCCGUGCCAGCAGAACGCGGUAAUACGGAAGGUCCGGGCGUUAUCCGGAUUUAUUGGGUUUAAAGGGAGCGUAGGCCGGAGAUUAAGCGUGUUGUGAAAUGUAGAUGCUCAACAUCUGCACUGCAGCGCGAACUGGUUUCCUUGAGUACGCACAAAGUGGGCGGAAUUCGUGGUGUAGCGGUGAAAUGCUUAGAUAUCACGAAGAACUCCGAUUGCGAAGGCAGCUCACUGGAGCGCAACUGACGCUGAAGCUCGAAAGUGCGGGUAUCGAACAGGAUUAGAUACCCUGGUAGUCCGCACGGGAAACGAUGGAUGCCCGCUGUUGGUCUGAAUAGGUCAGCGGCC